GACGAACGCUGGCGGCGUGCUUAACACAUGCCAGUCGAACGGAAAGGCCCUGCUUUUGUGGGGUGCUCGAGUGGCGAACGGGUGAGUAACACGUGAGUAACCUGCCCUUGACUUUGGGAUAACUUCAGGAAACUGGGGCUAAUACCGGAUAGGAGCUCCUGCUGCAUGGUGGGGGUUGGAAAGUUUCGGCGGUUGGGGAUGGACUCGCGGCUUAUCAGCUUGUUGGUGGGGUAGUGGCUUACCAAGGCUUUGACGGGUAGCCGGCCUGAGAGGGUGACCGGACACAUGGGGACUGAGAUACGGCCCAGACUGCUACGGGAGGCAGCAGUGGGGAAGAUUGCACAAUGGGCGGAAGCCUGAUGCAGCAACGCCGCGUGCGGGAUGACGGCCUUCGGGUUGUAAACCGCUUUCGCCUGUGACGAAGCGUGAGUGACGGUAAUGGGUAAAGAAGCACCGGCUAACUACGUG
RNAcentral lists this ribosomal RNA (468 nucleotides) under uncultured bacterium. Its description in RNAcentral is "partial 16S ribosomal RNA". It matches the Rfam family "Bacterial small subunit ribosomal RNA", at positions 28 to 507 of the family's 1533-position model. The record is from RNAcentral.